This is a long non-coding RNA of Ochotona curzoniae (black-lipped pika), 2086 nucleotides long. RefSeq lists it as uncharacterized. The transcript has 2 exons. Lineage: Eukaryota; Metazoa; Chordata; Mammalia; Lagomorpha; Ochotonidae. The record is from RefSeq and is a predicted model, not a curated record.
CCAGCACAUUUAGGGAGUUUAGCCACUAGACCACCUGGCUGGGCCUAGAAUCAUGAUUUUAUCAUACAAAAGAACUUCCUUUGAUUUUUUUUUCCCUCCAUACCUAUAUCUGAAGUAACUCUUUUAUGGUAUCUAUUAGUGAAAAGUGGAGAUUUGAAAUAAUAAAUGCCAGGAUUUGUGUGGUUAGUGCAGCAGGUAAUUUAUAAAUGAUGGUUUGUUUCAAGAUUAUCUUAUGCUUGUUGCAUGACUUCUGUGUAUGCACAGAGAAGUCAGGGGCAGGCAGGAAGUUACUUCCUUCUGAUGUGAAACAUGGGACAAAACAAGAUAGGGUGUGUUCAGCUGGUCUAGCACCCCUCUCCCCUUGUUUAUGUAUCUAUUGUUUCUUUUAUGUGGCCUUAGAGUUUACAUCCGAUGAAAUGGGACUUCUAUUGUUGACAGGUACUGCUGAUGCCGCUAUUAAUACAAGGCAAGUUUUUGGCACCAGUAUGAUAUGAAGGCAGAUCUUUCAAGUCAGAAAAGGGGUUUUAAAAAUCCCUGAGUUUAGCUUCCAUGCUCCUAACUUGUAAAUUAUUACUCAUUGUUCUGAAACUCAUUUCUUCUGUACCUCCAAUAAUUGACUUUGUGUAAACAGAACCAUAGUUUAAAUUUAGCAGGAAACAUUGUGUCUUCUGAGACUCACAUUUUCUGGAACGGAACUUUUCAACUUUUGUAAUAGGUAAAGAUGAACUCCCCACUUUCCUGUUUUUUUCCCUUGUUCUUUCUUCACUUAUGUUGGAUUUCUUUUCAAAAUGCUAGAUAGAUUUGAAACACUUGGCCAGAACUCUCAGGUUUUUUUCAACUGCCCAAUCCAGGAACCACAACUAGUUUUGUAGCUUUAAAAGUGAGAGUCAGAUGUAUUCCAGUAACCGAUGGGAGCAUAGCUUAGCAUUGUGGCAGGAAAGAUCCUGUUGUGGGAGGUAGAAAGGAUGAGUUUGGGUUGAAUAAUCUAUGUGGGGCUUUUCUUAAAAAAAAAAAAAAACCAAGAACUUAAAAAGCUAUUUUUCUUAAUUUAAAAAAAACAAAGUAAACUCAUCAUCUGCCAUUUUACAACAAUGAAAUAACUGCUGUUCAUUAAGUAUCAGCUGUAAACCAGUUGUCAAGAUAGGCAAUGGAAGAUGUGGUAUUGCAUUUAAUUUUUAACGUCUCUUAAAUGAAGUACUUAGUUUUUCUAAAAACAAUUUUAUUUGGAACAUGAAGAGGACUGCCUCUCCCAAGGAACAUUUUCGUAUUUAGUUCUUUCAGAUUUUUACCAUUUGGUCAUCUUAUAUCUUCUCCUUUAAUAUUGGUUUGAACAUAGGCACAGGUUUUUCAUAAGUUGAUCAAGAGUUUCAAAGAGAAACAUGUGCAUGAUGUUCUUUAUUAGUAAUUAAUGUGUGUUGAAAUUGUAAAAAGAAUGAGAUUAGUCUGAUUUAUAAGUAUGUGUUAUUUAUGUCUGAUAUGUUUUAUGAUAGGCAUUUUGAAUAUUUUAGUAUACUCAUCUGUCAGUCUUUAUGGGGGAAUUCAUUUUAGAGCCUCUGCUUCUUCAUUCCUCAUAUUCAACACCUGGGGAUAUUUAAGUCUUCUAUAAAAAGAUAGUACUUAUUACGCAAUCCUUUUGUGUAUUUUAAUCAUUUUUUAUAUGUCAAUAUUUUUAUAGCACCUAAUAUAAUGUGAAUGAUAGGUAAAUAGUUGUAUUGUUCAUGGAAUGACAAGAAAAAAUUCUAUGCAUAUUCAGUGAAGAUGUAAUUGUUUUUGAGUAUUUUCAGUUUGUGAUUUCUUGAAUCUGUGACUUGGGACCAGCUGAUAUGGAGAGCUGACUGUGUGUCUUUCUGAAGUACUUAGAAAAUUUUUGAAAAGCUUAGGCUUUUUCCUUUCUGGAGCUUUUGGCAAGUAUGACUAUGUUAAUACUAUGUUAAAUGUUUAUCUUGAUGUGUCAUGUUCAGAAUUUUACUAGCACUAUAAGAAUUCACUGUAAGCGAAAGGACGCUAGGUAUAUGAUGAUGGAAUUUAAAGAGACAGGGUGCACUACCCUAGAAAAGAAAAGCCCUCCUGUAUGAUUUGCUUACUU